RNAcentral lists this ribosomal RNA (410 nucleotides) under uncultured Anaerolineaceae bacterium. Its description in RNAcentral is "bacterial SSU rRNA". It matches the Rfam family "Bacterial small subunit ribosomal RNA", at positions 954 to 1382 of the family's 1533-position model. Lineage: Bacteria; Bacillati; Chloroflexota; Anaerolineae; Anaerolineales; Anaerolineaceae. The record is from RNAcentral.
UGACUACACGAAGAACUUACCAGGGUUUGACAUGUUAGUUGUAGGGAACUGAAAGGACGACCUUCGGGAGCUAGCACAGGUGCUGCAUGGCUGUCGUCAGCUCGUGUCGUGAGAUGUUCCGGUUAAGUCCGCUAACGAGCGCAACCCUCGCCGUGUGUUAUAAGUGUCACGCGGGACCGCCGGUCUUAAGCCGGAGGAAGGUGGGGAUGACGUCAAGUCAGCAUGGCCUUUAUGUCCUGGGCUACACACACGCUACAAUGGCCAGUACAAUUGGUAGCGAAGUCGCGAGGCGGAGCCAAUCCGUAAAGCAGGCCUCAGUUCAGAUUGCAGUCUGCAACUCGACUGCAUGAAGCCGGAGUUGCUAGUAACCGCAGGUCAGCAAUACUGCGGUGAAUACGUUCCCGGGUCUU